UUGCAACUCCUCCUGGCUAGUCUACUUUCACCUCCCGCUGCCCAUCCUCUCUCUCCCACUAUAUCGCGAGAGAUAGGGAGCACAGAAAUAUUCAUGUGUUAGCCACAACUGUUAUAAAACGACAAUUAUAUCGCGGACAUAUGAACGAAUUGUAAUGUAAGCCAACGCAAUAUUGAUAAAUUAGUUAUUUUAUUAAUAGCUGGCUAGCUAAUAAUAAUAGCUAGCCACAUAUUGACGGUACCUAUAGCGAUUCGCCUGUCGGCUGUAGUAGCACAUCUGGGAGGCACAAGUUACGAUUUAACUAGCUAACUAAAGUCACUAUUUUGAAGACACGCGUGUACAAGCUGCAGUUGUGUUCUUGUGGAUGUGUGGUGGACCGUAAGCAGGACGGCCACUUGUGAACCUCACCUAAUUUACCUUGCCCCUUUGUCCUAUACCUCCUCCCUGACUCCUCCCCUUUUCCUCCCAGUCUUUUAUCAUAGACCUUUUUAAAUGUAUGAAAGCAUGUUGCACAGAGACAGACACCCUAUAUUUCUACCUCUUCUCUGUCUGUGCUCAUCAGUCUGUUAUGGUAGUCUUUUAGCUGAAGGUUUUAAAUGGGGGUGAAUCUACUCUAUGCCUGGUGUAGUACGGUACUUGAAUUCCCACCCAUUUGUAUAUUAGCCCCGAUGAGCUGUGCAGAUUUCAUUAAUCAACCUUAAGUGAUAAACCAAUCAGCAGCCAGCUAAUUGGCCAAUCAGCCCCCCCUCCACUCCCUCCUGGUAGAAUGAACGGAUCUCUUUUAACCCCACCUAGCCUGCGGGCAGCCAACUCCUCUACCCUGCCCCCGUCACCCUCCCCGUCCCCUCCAUCCCCCUCCCUGUUGCCACUGUUCCCUCGGCCACCUUCCUUGGCCCAGCCUCACCCCUCCUCGCUCUCGGACACCCCCACGCCCUCCCCCUGCCUGAGCUGGACGGAGUUCUGUGAGCUGCAUGCCCGCAUGGCGGCCGGGGACUUUGCCCGCCACUUCCGGGCGUUCCUCCUGGAGAACCCGCACUACUCCCCCGACUCUGCUGCCGCCUUCUGUCGCCGCUUCACUGACCGCUUUGUCCGACAUUUCCAGAGCGAACUGGAGGGAGUGGCAGGGGCGCCGGGUACAGCCCCCGGGAUGGAGGCAGGGAGCUGGGCUCCCCAAUUAGACGCCACCUCCCUGGAAGAGGAGGCGGUCUCUCCCCCUCCCAUCACCGAGGGAUCCUGCUACCCCGCCUGUGCCCCAGCCAACCCGGUGCGAGCCCUGCCCAAGCCUGCCUCCACACGGCUGGUGUUGGAAACCCGAAGUGGGGACCAAUUUCAAGAUUCCUAUGCUGUCACAACGGUCCUCCCCCCAUCUUCAUCCUCCUCCUGCUCCUCCUCAGUGGGAGGAGGAAACAAUGGCGGGCGGGAAGAGAGGGGUGCCCCAGUUACUGUUAAACACUUCCCUGGCGUCGGCCCGGGCAAUGGAGAAACAACGGCCGAGGAAGAGGAGGAUAGCUGGGCGGGCGUAACGGUCAUGGAGGAGGAGGUGGAGCUAGAUGAGGGUGAGGCGGAUCUGGAAGUUUGCUUGGACAAUGAAGACCCCUCCCACAUGCCCCAAGCGCCUGCCUCCCCUUGCUCUGACACACCCCCUCCCCGCUCCAAGGGUAACGGCACACCGGCCUCGACAGGAAGCCAGUCCAAAACCAAACUGAAGAAGCGCUUCUCUCUGCGGAGUGUUGGGCGCAGCGUGCGGGGUAGUGUCCGGGGCAUCCUGCACUGGCGCAGCUCGUCCAGCGACUCCCCACAGAGCUCCUCCCAGCUGCCCUCCAGCUACAGCUACACAAUGGGGGUCCAAGACGCUGCCACCGGCUCUUCCUCCAAGAGGAACUCUGGUACUCAGCCCCCUACGCCCACCUCCUCCAUGCCUGUCUCUCUCUCCCUUCCCCUCUCCCUCCCCCACUCCUCCUCCCUGCCCCCGUCUUCCUCCAGCAGUGCCACCUCCCUCUCGUUGUCGGAAGCGCGGGACCGCCGGCGGAGCAAUGGCGAGGGGGGAGAGAAGGAGAAGUGGAGCCACCGGCUGGAGAAGUUGCGUCUGUCUCGCUCCCCACCCCCCGUUCUCUCCUCAGCGCCCACUUCGGCCGUGGUGUCGCCUUCCUCCGGCCUGCCCCCCAGCAGCAGCAGCAGCGCCACCCUGAGGACGGGCCGGCUGGUGAGGGAGGGAGGAGUCAGCGUCAGCUCCUCCAUGCCAGAUGAGUUUGCCGGGAGCCACGGUGGUUUCCCUGGCUUUUCCUUUGUCCUGCUGCACCACGGCACACAAGAACACAACAACGCUGGCACCGGCUUAAACAACACCUCGUCCACCGCUAAUGCUGCUCAAACAGCCGCAGUGCAGCCUCUCGUCCCCGGGGGCACUGUGGGCUGGAGGGGCGGUCGUUGGCACAAGUGCCGACUGGUCCUGAGGGAGAGGGACAAGGAGGGGGAGCGGGGCGAGGAGUACUAUCUGGAGUUCUUCAUCCCGCCUAAAUCCUCCAAGCCCAGGUUGACUAUCCCAUGCUGCUCUAUUGUGGAUGUGAGGAGCACCACAGCCCUGGAGGUGCCUGACAAGGAGAACACCUUCCUCCUGCAGUUGGAGGGACAGGUGCAGUAUGUGAUUGAGACGCGAGAUGCUGUGCAGAUGAGAGCCUGGUUGAGUGACAUCAGGAACGGUAUAUGUAUCAGUGAACAGGAGGACAAAGAAGCUGUGUGUGGGGGACCCAUGGACAUUAGUGGAACGCCAGAAUUCAGUGACCGCCUCUCUCAAGUGUGUUAUGGAGGUGUGGGCGGCUCUUCCCCGCUGAUGGACCCACGCCCCCCAGAGUUACCGCCCCGCGCCCCUCUGGACGAAUCAGACGGACGUGGGGGCGGAGCCGGCCUGGGCACACCAUUUGCGGAGACGCCAGAUGCCACAGGCUCCUUCCUGUUCUCAGACGUGGUGGAGGCGGUGGAGCACCCUCUGAGCGAGUGCCAGUGGUUCCACGGGACGUUGUCGCGCCUCAAGGCGGCCCAGCUGGUGCUGGCGGGGGGUAUGGCCAGCCACGGCGUCUUCCUUGUGCGCCAGAGCGAGACGCGCCGCGGGGAGUACGUCCUAACCUUCAACUUCCAGGGCAAGGCCAAGCACCUGCGUCUGUCUCUGAACGAGGACGGCCAGUGCCGGGUGCAGCACCUGUGGUUCCAGUCCAUAUUCGACAUGCUGGAGCACUUCCGGGUUCACCCAAUCCCCCUGGAGUCUGGGGGUGCCUCAGAUGUCACCCUCAUCAGCUUUGUGGGAGCCACCGCCGUCCGGCAGCCAGGCCGGGACAGGGCAAGCAGCCGGCCCACAGUCUGUGAUGUCAUCCCCACGCGCCACCUUGACUCUCCAUCAACCCCCAUCUCUGACUGUGUACUUGACCAGCAAACCCCGUAGCCCUCCCCAGCCUCCUCCUCCACCACCCCUUCCCCCCGGCCGGCCGCCACCCCCAACCCCACCCCAGGAACGAGGGAACGAGACAGAGCUGGGAGGUGGAGGAGGAACUACAGGAGGUGCAGGAGAAGGAGUGGAGGACUGGGAGGAGAGAGAAGCUCCUCUCCGCCAACUGGAGGGGGUGGAGGGUGAAGAGCGGGAAGGAGGGAGGGCAAGAGCCAUUGACAACCAGUACUCCUUCUUCUGAGGAGGCAGGGGGGGGGGGGUGUUUGUGCGAAAGGGAGAGUGGAGGAGGUGGGAGUCAUAGCCAUUCAUAACCAGUAUUUGUAUUUUAUUACGGGACUGUGGGGGGAGGGGGUUAGAAGGACGUACUAACACUAUUAAAACACAAGCAUUCUGGGAGAUUCAGCCAGAUGGAGAGAAAGAGAAAACGGGUGAAAGAGAAGAGAGAGGGAUGGGAGCACCGUACAACACUAAGUAAAGGUACACUAAUGUUUAGCGAGAUAAGCUUUUUGCCGGUACACCUCUUGGUACGCUUUUUGUAGACUUUUGAAUCCAUUCAUGGAUGUAGGUAGUGAGAGAGAUAUCCUCUGAACCCAGCAGUACCAUACCUCAAUAUCCUGCAGACAUUCUACUGGCCAACAGUACACUCUCACAGAGGUGGAGAUGGAGGACAACCAUAUACUUACAAGGUGGCAAAGAGACUAGGCUAGAACCGGCAGGCAGGAUACAUAUACCUCAGUCACUUUUUCAACCUCUCUCUUUUUCUCUCCUCAUUUUCUGGUUUUCUUUAAUGGUAGAGAAGUGGCCAGAGGUAGAGAGAGAGCGAAUAUAUAUUCAGAUAAAAUACUUUAUUAUUGAUAAUAAUAAUGAUAAUGGAAAUAAUGAUGGUCGGAAUUAAUAGUAUUAAUUUUAUUUUGUUUUUAAAAUGCCUUUUAUUGUAUGUUGUUUACUCCAUGUAAAGCGUAACACUUGUUCCUGCCCCCAUCCGAUUAUUUCAGUUGAAAUUUGUUUGUGCCUUUUUUUAUAUUGCUAAGCCUCAUACUCAGUCUUUCCCUCACGCUCAUACAGUCCUCUCCUCCUGGACCUCAUCCUAAUUUAAUUUUAAUAUGCAGAAAUAGAAUAUAAGAAAAAUAUAAGGGGGAGGGAGGCAUUUUUCUACUCGUGCCUUUUUGUGUUAUCACCUCUGUCAUACUCCUUCAACCUGUGCCUGGGUUGUGUGGCCAUGUCUGUCUGUUUGCCAUUCAGUUCAGUGCCUCUAUCUUUCUUUCUCUUUGUGUCUCCCUCCUCCCUCUCUUUGUUUAUACCUUUACUUCUUGUUUGUCCUCUCCUCUACUCAGAGCCUUGUAAUCAUCUUUUACACAUCUUACCCCAUCCCCCUGUUCAUCCUUUUCAAAUGUUGAACUCUAUUUGUGCCUUUCUGUCUCUGUCUGUCUCUCGCUCUCUCUUUAGCUGGGGACCUUGUGUUGACAGUGGGCAGGGUUUUGUCCAACCUUUGUGGUUAGUUUCAGGUACUACAUUGAAUUUAAUGAUAUGAUAUAAUAUAAUUAUACUGAAACAUUAUGGCCUAGUGUGUUGUUGCUUUGGUUCACUGUUAUUGUUUCUUACUGAAUAAAGGGGAAGGAUGUAAAGGAAUGUUACAGUAAUUCUUGCAGCUUUGGGUUGUCGCUAGUUGCCACAAAGUCAAAUGAAUGUCAUAAAAAUUCAUCAAAACAAAAAUUCACGUUUUGGUCAUAAUUUAUGGUUAGGCAUAAGGUUAGCGUUGUGGUUAAGGUUAAAAUCAGAUUUUAACAUUUUAGAAAUAGGCGGGGUUUGGCUUGAAAUUAGUGACGACCGCGGUUUUGGGGUCUAAAGUGUUUAGCGCGUGCACGUUAAAUUGUGAAUGCGCACAUGCACACUCGUACACGCCCCCAUCAACCCAGUCAGUCAGCCACGCGCAGACGACAACAUCUUUGUGGUGCCAAACCGGCGAAUUUGUUUUCCCCGAGUUUUACAAUUUGUUCAAGUUACAAAUGACAUGCAAUCGGAGUAAGCCACAAGCAAGAGUAAAUCCACGGAAAGGAAACGAAAGACGACGUCCUAAAAGUUUUAGCUACAGAAGGGACAUUACUGCUUGCUCGUCUAGCUAGCCAUCGAGCUAGCUAUAACGUGCAAGGCUGUACCACAGUAGCCAGCUUAACUAUCGAUUAAGUUCCGAAGAGGCAAUGUCCUUUCGUCGACAGAACGUGUAAUUAUUGGCACGUGUCACACCAGCAACAACCCGGUUCAGGCGGACGAAAAACCUCCAAUGGAACGGCAGGGCCUGCCGCUUUGCCCCCUCAUAUCAGCGGGAACAAUGCCAACAGAGCUGUGCCUGGAAGG
This is a non-coding RNA of Oncorhynchus mykiss (rainbow trout), 5794 nucleotides long. NCBI's taxonomy places the organism in Eukaryota, Metazoa, Chordata, Actinopteri, Salmoniformes, Salmonidae. The record is from RefSeq and is a predicted model, not a curated record.